Myiozetetes cayanensis is the source of this 305-nucleotide long non-coding RNA. RefSeq lists it as uncharacterized. NCBI's taxonomy places the organism in Eukaryota, Metazoa, Chordata, Aves, Passeriformes, Tyrannidae. The transcript is spliced from 3 exons. The record is from RefSeq and is a predicted model, not a curated record.
CACAGCCCCGCGGUGGCUGCCGGGAAAGCGAUGGCGGCGACAGCGGGAUCUGCUCCGACUUUGUGCCCCUGAGCAAUGGCCCGGAGGUGAGCCCAGAGCUGGCCCUGAGGUGGCCCUGAGAAGAAGUGGAAGGCAGAGGUGGUGCUGAGGCAGGAGAGCCCCGUGCUGGGGAAGAGGCUGAGCUGGGAGUGCCCAGCAGCGAGAAGGUGCUGUGUCCAUGCCCUGUGUGCCAGGUGAGCUGGGGCUUUGCUGCAGAGCUGCGGGCGCUGAUUGGAGCGGCUGCAGCUGCUGAGCUGGUGGCACCC